UAUGACAGGUGGCUGCAUGGCUGUCGUCAGCUCGUGCCGUGAGGUGUUGGGUUAAGUCCCGCAACGAGCGCAACCCUAUCUUAGUUGCCAUCAGUUCGGCUGGGGCACUCUAUGGAGACUGGCCACCUAAAGUGGAGGAAGGUGGGGGAUGACGUCAAGUCAUCAUGGCCCUUAUGUCCAGGGCGACACACGUGCUACAAUGGCCGGCACAACGGGAAGCGAAGGGGCGACCCUGAGCGGAUCCCCAAUAAAAGCCGGUCCCAGUUCGGAUUGCAGUCUGCAACUCGACUGCAUGAAGUUGGAAUCGCUAGUAAUCGUGGAUCAGCCAAGCCGCGGUGAAUACGUUCCCGGGCCUU
RNAcentral lists this ribosomal RNA (356 nucleotides) under uncultured Thermovirga sp. RNAcentral's name for it is "bacterial SSU rRNA". It matches the Rfam family "Bacterial small subunit ribosomal RNA", at positions 1030 to 1382 of the family's 1533-position model. The record is from RNAcentral. Lineage: Bacteria; Thermotogati; Synergistota; Synergistia; Synergistales; Thermovirgaceae.